UAGUCGUAGUAGUAGUAGUAGAAAUAUUAAUUUUCUUUUUUUUUCUUUUUACCGACUUGUUUUAUUCAGGCACAGGGUUGUCCAUGUCCACACCGAUGGCGACAGAGGACCUCUACGUCAUUGGCAAGAUGGCGGCUUCAAGCAGCAAGUCUGUUCUGUUUGUCUGUCUGGGGAACAUCUGCAGGUCCCCCAUUGCGGAGGCCGUCUUCAGGAAGAUGGCAACUGAAGCAGGUGUUGUUGACAAGUGGAGGAUAGACAGUGCCGCCACGUUCGGCCAUGAGAUAGGAAAUCCGCCCGACCAUCGCGGCCUAGCCUGCAUGAAGAGGCACAACGUGCCUAUGAGACACGUGGCUCGACAGGUGACCAAGGAUGACUUCAUGAGCUUUGAAUUUAUUCUCUGCAUGGAUGAAAGAAACUUGAGGGACUUGAAAAAGAAAGCCAACGAUGUGGAGAAUCACCAGGCAAAAAUCGAACUUCUCGGUGCAUAUGACCCGCAGAAGCAGCUGAUCAUCAAAGACCCCUAUUAUGGGGCGGCCAUUUUUCUGCCACUGGUCAACUGAUAAAUGACAUCACAGUUGCUUGGGGCUCACGUAACAACCAAUCAUGGCUCAGCUUCCGAAAACAGGGAAGUGACGAAGACUUUGAAAAGGUGUACGAACAGUGUCAACGAUGCUGCAGGGCGUUUCUCGAGGCAAACUCGUAGCGUUGUUGUCGCUUGCCAAUUGGCCACCGGUAAGGCAUUCUUUGACCACGUUGCGCAAGAAUAUCAUUGGUGUGGCGGGUUGGGAGGGACAGCCACCGGAACGCCUCCAAGUUUUCUGUAUUGUGCUUGCUCUGGCCACAUUAUUGACUUGGAGAACAAUUCCUGUGUUGAAAUAAAAACCAUAUAACCCA
RNA transcript from Hippocampus zosterae (dwarf seahorse), 894 nucleotides. It is a transcript of the gene named acid phosphatase 1, with no coding region annotated. The record is from RefSeq and is a predicted model, not a curated record. The transcript is spliced from 7 exons. NCBI's taxonomy places the organism in Eukaryota, Metazoa, Chordata, Actinopteri, Syngnathiformes, Syngnathidae.